RNAcentral lists this ribosomal RNA (635 nucleotides) under uncultured fungus. RNAcentral's name for it is "eukaryotic LSU rRNA". The stretch from base 171 to 324 matches the Rfam family "5.8S ribosomal RNA". The record is from RNAcentral. Lineage: Eukaryota; Fungi.
UUGUUCGUAGGUGACCUGCGGAGGUCAUUACAGAAAGUAAACGCGGAUCAAACCGCGAACUUCUAAACCUUUGACGAUUGACUCAUGUUGCCUCGGCGGGUGCUCCCGCCAGAGGAUACAUCAAAACUCCUGUUUUAACGGUGUUGUCUGAGCUACAAGCAACGAAUCAAAACUUUCAACAACGGAUCUCUUGGUUCUGGCAUCGAUGAAGAACGCAGCGAAAUGCGAUAAGUAGUGUGAAUUGCAGAAUUCAGUGAAUCAUCGAAUCUUUGAACGCACAUUGCGCCCCUUGGUAUCCCGAGGGGCAUGCCUGUUCGAGCGUCAUUUCACCACUCAAGCCUGGCUUGGUGUUGGGCGACGUCCCCUUUGGGGACGCGCCUCGAAACGCUCGGCGGCGUGGCACCGGCUUUAAGCGUAGCAGAAUCUUUCGCUUUGAAAGUCGGGGCCCCGUCUGCCGGAAGACCUACUCGCAAGGUUGACCUCGGAUCAGGCAGGGAUACCCGCUGAACUUAAGCAUAUCAAUAAGCGGAGGACGCUCACAAUGGUCUUCGGACAACUUCAUAUCAAAUUUGACCUCAAAUCAGGUAGGACUACCCGCUGAACUUUAAGCAUAUCAAUAAGCGGGAGGAAAUGCG